Long non-coding RNA from Rana temporaria (common frog), 1108 nucleotides. RefSeq lists it as uncharacterized. The record is from RefSeq and is a predicted model, not a curated record. Lineage: Eukaryota; Metazoa; Chordata; Amphibia; Anura; Ranidae. The transcript has 3 exons.
GCAAUAUAUAUGUAAAGCACUGCGUAAAUUGACGGGGCUAUAUAAGUACCUGAAAUAAAUAAUUAAAAUCUAUUAAUUAUAUACUAUAGUCAACAGUUAUGGCUGAGCUAAUAACACUUCUUGCAACAUAUUACAUUUUUAUUUUUUGUUUUAGGUUAUUGUGGAGCAGAACAUCCAAUUACUUUCAGCCUACUAACAGCCUGAAGAAGAGCCAUGGAGGCUGAAGCGUCAUUGCAUUUUUUUCAUUAAAUUGUUUAAAUAGAUUAUUAAAAUCUCUAUUCCUUGGUGUGGUCACAUUGUCUAAUACACUGGAUUUCUGGUAGGAAUGUGACAGUCAGCUGAUGUGCCCUGGCAUGGACAGCAGCGUGUGAAGUCAUUGCCGCAAGAAAAGAGAAUGGCACGGUUGCAUGACGAUAAACUGGAUCACUUGAGCGCUUUCUAGUCUUCCCACAGUAUAUUCAGCCCUUUAUGUGGUAAUUGAUCCAGCUCCCCUGUGUUCUAAGCUUGUAGCUGAAGAUUCUACCACACCUCUUGUCUGGUGACAACAUUAGAUAGAGAAAAUUCCUGGACUGCCGCACUCCUUGAAACAAUGUCUUUAUUCAGCAAAAAAACUUUAAAAACACAAAACAACCAAAAACAGUGCAGUCAAAAAGGAGAGGUGGACAAAAGGAAAAAGGUGGCUGACAUGUUUCACAUCUUUCGAUGCUUAGUCGUAGCUGGUGACAACAUUGAAGAAAUCGCUACAAGACCACAGACAGCUAGAAAAAGUCCAACUUUGAACUGGCUAUAGACAGGUCUUUUUUUUUUUUCAUUCAGCCUGAUUCCUCUAUUCAAACAAUAGAGGUGGAUGGAGAAACCCCCCCACCGGGACUUUGUAUUCUGACAGUGGGAUGCGCUACUGUCAGAAUACACUGAUUGACAAAGGUUUUCCAACAUUUCAAACAAUCAACUUCUGUCGAACAGGGAUGGCUUCACACUGAGAAAUUUUGAUCCUUCUAUGGCCAGCUUAACUUUCUUUCUUCACUUUUCCUAAAACAAAAAAAAAAAUGUUUGGUUUACAAACUCGCACAUAUAGUUAAUCUCAGUAAUAAAAGGCUACAAACCUAAA